GCUCAUUACAACAGCCAUAGUUUAUUGGAUGUUUACGUUCCUACAUGGACACCUGCGGUAAUUCUGGAGCUAAUACAUGCACAAGCCGACGACCUUACGGAAGUCGCGCAUUUGUUAGAUCAAACCAAUCGGUCCUCCGGGACCGUAAUUUGAUGACUCUGAACAACUUAGCUGACCGCACAGUCUCGUACUGGCGGCAUAUCUUUCAAGUGUCUGCCUUAUCAACUUUCGUUGGUAGUUUAUACGACUACCAAGGUUGUAACGGGUAACGGAGAAUAAGGGUUCGACUCCGGAGAGGGAGCCUGAGAAACGGCUACCACAUCCAAGGAAGGCAGCAGGCGCGCAAAUUACCCACUCGCAGAACGCGGAGGUAGUGACGAAAAAUAACGAGGUGGCUCUCUAUGAGGUCCAUCAUCGGAAUGGGUACAAUUUAAAUCCUUUAACGAGGAUCUAUUGGAGGGCAAGUCUGGUGCCAGCAGCCGCGGUAAUUCCAGCUCCAAUAGCGUAUACUAAAGUUGUUGCGGUUAAAAAGCUCGUAGUUGGAUCUGCGCUCUGUGAGAGCGGUCGCUCGCUGAGUUGUACUGUCUCUCACGGGCUAACCAUUCGGUUUUCCCUUGAUGCUCUUCAUUGAGUGUCCUGGGUGACCGAAACGUUUACUUUGAAAAAAUUAGAGUGCUCAAAGCAGGCGAUUUGCCCGAAUAUUCGUGCAUGGAAUAAUAAAAGAGGUCCUUGUAGCCUUUUAUUGGUUAUCGCUACGAGGAAAUGAUCGAAGGGGACAGACGGGGGCAUUUGUAUUGCGACGUUAGAGGUGAAAUUCUUGGAUCGUCGCAAGACAAACUACUGCGAAAGCAUUUGCCAAGAAUGUUUUCAUCAAUCAA
RNAcentral lists this ribosomal RNA (878 nucleotides) under Trichodorus obtusus. RNAcentral's name for it is "SSU rRNA". It matches the Rfam family "Eukaryotic small subunit ribosomal RNA", at positions 96 to 980 of the family's 1831-position model. Lineage: Eukaryota; Metazoa; Nematoda; Enoplea; Triplonchida; Trichodoridae. The record is from RNAcentral.